MicroRNA precursor from Poecilia formosa (Amazon molly), 88 nucleotides. The record is from Ensembl. Lineage: Eukaryota; Metazoa; Chordata; Actinopteri; Cyprinodontiformes; Poeciliidae.
GACUGACUGGUAUCCAGUUCAAGUAAUCCAGGAUAGGCUGUGUGUAUCCUGGUUGGCCUAUUCAUGAUUACUUGCACUGGGUGUCGGC